ACGGAGGGUGCAAGCGUUAUUCGGAAUCACUGGGCGUAAAGCGCGUGUAGGCGGUCCUGCAAGUCUGAUGUGAAAGCCCCGGGCUUAACCCGGGAAGAGCAUUGGAAACUGCAGGUCUUGAGUACUGGAGAGGAUGGGGGAAUUCCCGGUGUAGAGGUGAAAUGCGUAGAGAUCGGGAGGAAUAUCGGUGGCGAAGGCGCCCAACUGGGCGAUAACUGACGCUGAGACGCGAAAGCGUGGGGAGCAAACAG
RNAcentral lists this ribosomal RNA (251 nucleotides) under uncultured prokaryote. RNAcentral describes it as "partial 16S rRNA". It matches the Rfam family "Bacterial small subunit ribosomal RNA", at positions 525 to 775 of the family's 1533-position model. The record is from RNAcentral.